UGAGUUCAGGAGUUCAAGACCAGUCUGGGCAACACAGAGAAACCUUGUCUCUACUAAAAAUACAGAACUCAGCCAGGCAUAGCAGUGGGCACCUGUAAUCCCAGCCACU
Molecule: long non-coding RNA, 109 nt
Organism: Sapajus apella (tufted capuchin)
Lineage: Eukaryota; Metazoa; Chordata; Mammalia; Primates; Cebidae
Exons: 3
Source: RefSeq, a predicted model, not a curated record